GCUUGUCUCAAAGAUUAAGCCAUGCAUGUCUAAGUAUAACUCUUUUACUUUGAAAACUGCGAACGGCUCAUUAUAUCAGUUAUAGUUUCUUUGAUAGUCCCUUACUACUUGGAUACCCGUAGUAAUUCUAGAGCUAAUACAUGCGUCAAACCUCGACUUCUGGGAGAGGUGUAUUUAUUAGAUGGAAACCAAUGCGGGGCAACCCGGUAUAUGGUGAUUCAUAAUAACUUUCGGAUCGAUCUUCGGAUCGAUGCAUCAUUCAAGUUUCUGCCCUAUCAGCUUUGGAUGGUAGGGUAUUGGCCUACCAUGGCUUUAACGGGUAACGGAGAAUUAGGGUUCGAUUCCGGAGAGGGAGCCUGAGAAAUGGCUACCACAUCCAAGGAAGGCAGCAGG
RNAcentral lists this ribosomal RNA (393 nucleotides) under uncultured Chrysophyceae. RNAcentral describes it as "partial small subunit ribosomal RNA". It matches the Rfam family "Eukaryotic small subunit ribosomal RNA", at positions 30 to 432 of the family's 1831-position model. The record is from RNAcentral. Lineage: Eukaryota; Chrysophyceae.